Molecule: ribosomal RNA, 238 nt
Filed under: uncultured bacterium
Lineage: Bacteria
Description: partial 16S ribosomal RNA
Rfam family: Bacterial small subunit ribosomal RNA
Source: RNAcentral
UACAGAGGGUGCAAGCGUUAAUCGGAAUUACUGGGCGUAAAGCGUGCGUAGACGGUUAUGUAAGUCAGAUGUGAAAGCCCCGGCUUAACCUGGGAAUGGCAUUUGAGACUGCAUAGCUAGGGUGCGGAAGAGGGAAGCGGAAUUUCCGGUGUAGCGGUGAAAUGCGUAGAUAUCGGAAGGAACACCAGUGGCGAAGGCGAGUCCCUGGACGAUACCUGACACUGAGGCACGAAAGCCA